GUUGCUGUGAGCCGCUGUGAUGUAUUCUUGCCGUGCCAGCACCGUCCUGCUGUGCCAGUGCCGGGCUCUCUCGUUAGGUUCAAAUUUUCCUUUCCAGUUCUGGAGAGCAAUUUCCUGGGGACCAGAUUGGAGAUCAAGCAAUCUAAAGCAAUAUCUCAAAAUAACAAUCCUCAUGCAAUUUCUGUGCAGAUGGCACUGUCUAUUGGGAAGGCGAUGAAAUGGUGGGAAAAGGGUCUGCAUCCGAACAUGAGGGAGAUUACCUCAGCCCAGGAUCUGGUCUACUCACUGCAGAACGCCGGGAACAAGCUGGUGAUUGUGGAUUUCUUCUCGCCGGGGUGCGGUGGCUGCAGAGCACUCCAUCCUAAGAUUUGCCAGUUCGCCGAGAUGAACCCGGACGUGCAAUUCCUUCAAGUGAACUAUGAAGAGCAUAAAUCCAUGGCGUAUAGCUUGAAUGUUCAUGUGCUGCCGUUUUUCCGGUUCUACCGAGGAGCGCAUGGCCGUCUGUGUAGCUUCAGCUGCACUAAUGCCACAAUCAAGAAAUUCAGGGAUGCGCUGGCUAAACACAAUACUGAUAGAUGCAGCCUUGGGCCGACUAAGGGGCUGGAGGAGAAGGAGCUUGUUGCUCUCGCAGCAAACAGAGAACUGGGUUUCAGUUAUACACCAAAGCCAGAGCAUGAGCCUGUUAAUCAACCAGAUGUUUUACCGGAGCCGACUCGCCCGAAGCUGCCUCUCUCAAGAGAUGCUGAGGAGAAAGUGCUGGCUGGAGCUGGGAGGUAGAGGUUGGGAGCAUUGAGAAAUAGCUCCCCUUUGUACAGUUUCCUUUCCGGAAAUUGCAUGUAGGCUAUAGUUAUCCAAUUUCAAAGAUCUGUGUUUGUUAAGGAUCUUGACUUGCCAUUGCAGGCUGAUUG
This 908-nucleotide unclassified non-coding RNA is filed under the name Hevea brasiliensis (rubber tree). Lineage: Eukaryota; Viridiplantae; Streptophyta; Magnoliopsida; Malpighiales; Euphorbiaceae. The record is from RNAcentral.